Molecule: ribosomal RNA, 254 nt
Filed under: uncultured bacterium
Lineage: Bacteria
Description: partial 16S ribosomal RNA
Rfam family: Bacterial small subunit ribosomal RNA
Source: RNAcentral
CACGUAGGGGGCAAGCGUUGUCCGGAUUUAUUGGGCGUAAAGAGCUCGUAGGUGGUUCGGUAAGUCGGGUGUUAAACCCCCAGGCUCAACCUGGGGACGCCACUCGAUACUGCUGUGACUAGAGUCCGGUAGGGGAGCGUGGAAUUCCUGGUGUAGCGGUGAAAUGCGCAGAUAUCAGGAGGAACACCAGCGGCGAAGGCGGCGCUCUGGGCCGGUACUGACACUGUGGAGCGAAAGCGUGGGUAGCAAACAGG